Molecule: ribosomal RNA, 402 nt
Filed under: uncultured bacterium
Lineage: Bacteria
Description: bacterial SSU rRNA
Rfam family: Bacterial small subunit ribosomal RNA
Source: RNAcentral
GCUAGCGGCGGACGGGUGAGUAACACGUGGGCAACCUGCCUCAUAGAGGGGAAUAGCCUUCCGAAAGGGAGAUUAAUACCGCAUAAGAUUGUAGCUUCGCAUGAAGUAGCAAUUAAAGGAGCAAUCCGCUAUGAGAUGGGCCCGCGGCGCAUUAGCUAGUUGGUGAGGUAACGGCUCACCAAGGCGACGAUGCGUAGCCGACCUGAGAGGGUGAUCGGCCACAUUGGGACUGAGACACGGCCCAGACUCCUACGGGAGGCAGCAGGUGGGGAAUAUUGCACAAGUGGGGGAAACCCUGAUGCAGCAAUGCCGCGUGAGUGAUGACGGCCUUCGGGUUGUAAAGCUCUGUCUUCAGGGACGAUAAUGACGGUACCUGAGGAGGAAGCCACGGCUAACUACGUG